UUGUGCUUGUGUCGGACCCGGCUCGCUCCCAUGUGCUUCUCGAGGUCCAAGCUAGUAAUCAGGUGUUUGCCUGUGUUGCGGUCCACCAGGUGGCUCAGUUCGAGCCUCAGGUCCGCAAGAGGGAGGACGUAUUCAAUGGGGAGAGGUUCGACGCCCCGGGCCUCAGCUUCUGCCUCAAGGGCAGCGGCAAUGGACCAGGUAGGCGCAGUAAAGGCAGACCCAUUUUGGUACAGUGUGACACCGUACUCUUUUGCCAGGGUCAUCUGUUUCAGCGUCGUAAGGUGGUGUGACCUAUGGGCUGGGAGAAGGUGGGCCUGUGUGGGGCCAGCUAUGCUUGCCUGGCGCGGCAGAAGGGCUCGGGUUACUAUCCCAAGACGGCCCGAGUCAUUUAGGGCAAGGACCAGGGCCCGCUGGGCCACACGCGCGUAUUGUGGCAGGAGGGAGCCCAGGCCCAAGCCGUAUUCGUCGGCGGGCAGGAGGGAGGUCCGGGUGGGGAAGCUGCGGGGGAGUCCGUAGCAGCGUUUUGCAAAACCAGCCAGGGUAGUAGUGUCGAGCGUUGUUAUGUCAUGUUUUGUGAAGGGCAUUGCUGCGAAUCCAUAUGCAACUGUGGUGUGCACGCACUGUUGUAUCAUGCGCAGGCGUUGUGCCAGUGUCGCCAGGGAUGUGGCAAUGGCUGUGCCCUUGUCCUUCACAAUCUCGGUGACUCUUGCGACAUGUGCCGACCAGUCCAGCGAGAAC
Molecule: long non-coding RNA, 738 nt
Filed under: Chlamydomonas reinhardtii
Lineage: Eukaryota; Viridiplantae; Chlorophyta; Chlorophyceae; Chlamydomonadales; Chlamydomonadaceae
Description: long non-coding RNA (CREI_LNC000215)
Source: RNAcentral